CAUGCAAGUCGAGCGGUAGCACAGAGAGCUUGCUCUCGGGUGACGAGCGGCGGACGGGUGAGUAAUGUCUGGGAAACUGCCUGAUGGAGGGGGAUAACUACUGGAAACGGUAGCUAAUACCGCAUAACGUCGCAAGACCAAAGUGGGGGACCUUCGGGCCUCAUGCCAUCAGAUGUGCCCAGAUGGGAUUAGCUGGUAGGUGGGGUAACGGCUCACCUAGGCGACGAUCCCUAGCUGGUCUGAGAGGAUGACCAGCCACACUGGAACUGAGACACGGUCCAGACUCCUACGGGAGGCAGCAGUGGGGAAUAUUGCACAAUGGGCGCAAGCCUGAUGCAGCCAUGCCGCGUGUGUGAAGAAGGCCUUCGGGUUGUAAAGCACUUUCAGCGGGGAGGAAGGCGGUGAGGUUAAUAACCUUAUCGAUUGACGUUACCCGCAGAAGAAGCACCGGCUAACUCCGUGCCAGCAGCCGCGGUAAUACGGAGGGUGCAAGCGUUAAUCGGAAUUACUGGGCGUAAAGCGCACGCAGGCGGUCUGUCAAGUCGGAUGUGAAAUCCCCGGGCUCAACCUGGGAACUGCAUUCGAAACUGGCAGGCUAGAGUCUUGUAGAGGGGGGUAGAAUUCCAGGUGUAGCGGUGAAAUGCGUAGAGAUCUGGAGGAAUACCGGUGGCGAAGGCGGCCCCCUGGACAAAGACUGACGCUCAGGUGCGAAAGCGUGGGGAGCAAACAGGAUUAGAUACCCUGGUAGUCCACGCUGUAAACGAUGUCGAUUUGGAGGUUGUGCCCUUGAGGCGUGGCUUCCGGAGCUAACGCGUUAAAUCGACCGCCUGGGGAGUACGGCCGCAAGGUUAAAACUCAAAUGAAUUGACGGGGGCCCGCACAAGCGGUGGAGCAUGUGGUUUAAUUCGAUGCAACGCGAAGAACCUUACCUGGUCUUGACAUCCACAGAACUUUCCAGAGAUGGAUUGGUGCCUUCGGGAACUGUGAGACAGGUGCUGCAUGGCUGUCGUCAGCUCGUGUUGUGAAAUGUUGGGUUAAGUCCCGCAACGAGCGCAACCCUUAUCCUUUGUUGCCAGCGGUUAGGCCGGGAACUCAAAGGAGACUGCCAGUGAUAAACUGGAGGAAGGUGGGGAUGACGUCAAGUCAUCAUGGCCCUUACGACCAGGGCUACACACGUGCUACAAUGGCAUAUACAAAGAGAAGCGACCUCGCGAGAGCAAGCGGACCUCAUAAAGUAUGUCGUAGUCCGGAUUGGAGUCUGCAACUCGACUCCAUGAAGUCGGAAUCGCUAGUAAUCGUAGAUCAGAAUGCUACGGUGAAUACGUUCCCGGGCCUUGUACACACCGCCCGUCACACCAUGGGAGUGGGUUGCAAAAGAAGUAGGUAGCUUAACCUUCGCGAGGGCGCCUACCACUUU
RNAcentral lists this ribosomal RNA (1417 nucleotides) under Klebsiella variicola. RNAcentral's name for it is "bacterial SSU rRNA". It matches the Rfam family "Bacterial small subunit ribosomal RNA". Lineage: Bacteria; Pseudomonadati; Pseudomonadota; Gammaproteobacteria; Enterobacterales; Enterobacteriaceae. The record is from RNAcentral.